This 322-nucleotide small RNA is filed under the name Marmota monax (woodchuck). The record is from RNAcentral. Lineage: Eukaryota; Metazoa; Chordata; Mammalia; Rodentia; Sciuridae.
AUUACAGCACUGCUUUCUGACUGGCUGUUUAACACCUUAACAGCAGAUCCCAGGUUUGCUGCUAUGACAGGAAAAUGCUGACCCCUCUUUAGAAGCUGCUUAUGUUCCUGGUGGCGAAAUCGUGGAGGUACUUCUCGAGGAUACCGAGGCAAGGCCUGUGGCUGCGGCGGCUGCUGCUGCUGCUGCUGCUGCUGCAGUAGUGGUGGUGGCGGCUGCUGCUGCUGCUGCUGUUGCUGCGGCUGCUGCGGCUGCUGCUGUUGCUGCUGCUGCUGCUGAUUGUUGGCUGUAGCUCGCUUGGCAUUAUUAUUAGUGCUGGUUGCUG